RNAcentral lists this ribosomal RNA (382 nucleotides) under uncultured eukaryote. Its description in RNAcentral is "partial 18S ribosomal RNA". It matches the Rfam family "Eukaryotic small subunit ribosomal RNA", at positions 592 to 976 of the family's 1831-position model. The record is from RNAcentral.
UGUAAGCGUAUACCAAAGUUGUUGCAGUUAAAACGCUCGUAGUCGGAAUUUGGCAGUUCCGGAUGUGUGCACGUCGUGUGCGCACUUCGCGGGGAUUGCUUUUGUGGUCUUGCGUAGGAUGAGGCACUUUUAUUAGUGAACGUCCUCACGCAACCACUUUUUACUGUGAGUAAAUCAGAGUGCUCAAAGCAGGCAUUUGCCGUGAAUGUAUUAGCAUGGAAUAAUAGAAUAGGACUUGGUUCUAUUUUGUUGGUUUGUUGGGACUGAGUAAUGAUUAAGAGGGACAGUUGGGGGCAUUUGUAUUUCGGUGCUAGAGGUGAAAUUCUUAGAUUACCGAAAGACAAACUGCUGCGAAAGCGUCUGCCAAGGAUGUUUUCAUUGA